CUCGGAGGCGUGCGUAGGGCUGGCCGUAAUCCUGCCGCAGGGCCGCGGCCGCCCGUGCACGGCGCCCCGCGGGCAGCCCCAGGGGUGCGAGGGGACCCAGGGGCGGACUACGUGUCCCAGCACGCCCGCGGGUGACUCCCCGCCGGAAGCGCAGUCCCGCGGCGCACUGCGCGCUGGGAACGGUAGUCGCGGCGGGGACCCACCAGGCUCUGCCUGGCCCGCGCCAUUUUGCUUUUCCGGUGCGGCAGGGACUGGUGCGGGGAUGCAGAGCCCGGCGGUGCUCUCAGCCACCGGCCGGGGCACCCUCCCCUUUUGGGAACCUUCUAAAAUGUUGGCUAGUGCAGAGGAAUGAAAUAAAACAUGCCAGUGAGAACGAGGUAUGAUGGAGAGGAGAUUUUCUAUUGUGUCCAGUACAUUGUGCUUUAAGCACUUCAUGGAAGCACUAUCACAUGUAGAAGAAUACUUGUUACACCCAAGUGGAUUUUCCUGAAAGCUAUAGUGCAUGAACAGUUUCUAGUAAUUGGAAUGUGAGGCAUCCUGAAGAUUUCCUGGCAACAGGAAUUACAACAGGUAGAGGAAAAUGGGCCAAAAUGUAGGAACUUACUUUUAGAAGCUUUUAGCUUAUUCAGUGAUGAGCUGGACACUUUGUCAGAGCUGUCUGACAAAUGUGGAUGAUCAGUAACCAGGAAGAAGUUACACCUGAAAAGAUCUGUGGCUUGGAGUGGGAUGCUGUGCUUUUACAUCCUGCUGAAACAGCUGCUGCAACUUUGUUUAGUAGAUGCUGUUUUCAGAAACUGCAUAUAGACCAAAAUCACUGUCUGCGUGUCUAAAAUAGUGCCUUACUAAAAUAUUAAGCUGCCCUCUCUAGGAAGGAUAGCAGCAAAAUUAGCGAAAUGAAUGUUGAGCAUUAAUACAUGGAAAACCCCCUGAGCAGUUACCCUUUUAAAAUACUGUAUUGGUUACACGUUCUGAUACUGAAAAUCUGCGAUAACUCAGGACAACAGAGCUCACAUGCGAGCCCUGUAAAGACAAGGGAGAGCAAAAUGAGUACACAAAUGCAAACCAGGGAGUCUGUGUUUUGAGGGUGAUGUCAUCCAGGAAAUGGGAGAAAGUAUAGAAGGUGAUGGUGUUACGGAAGCAUAAACCUGAAACACUUGUAAGAAAGAAAAAAAUAUGUCUUCAGAUCGCAUCAUAGUUUGUAUCAGUUGAGGAACCAAGGAGUUGGGUUUUUAUUGACUGCCACUUAGGCAUGGAAAGACUAGUACCGCAACAGUGGAACUGCUCCUUGAGGAACACACUGGCAAUAUUAGCUGCUUGCAGUGUGGGGAGAAGAGGUCAGUGGUGGGAAAAGAGACCACAUACACUAGAACUUGUGCUUUAGACAGUCACUUGAAAAGUACCAGUGCUGUAUCACAGUAGCAGCAUAUUUGCUGUAUUUGUCAAAUUGUCACUCUUACACAGAGGAAUGAAGGCUCAUAAAUUGGUCACCAAGUAAAUUGGAUUUUCAAGAUGACUGUGUAUGACUCCAUCUGCCUUAAAAUGUCAAGCCUAAUUGUCAGAAAUGCUUUAUGAAGGAAGAAACACGAGAAUGGCAUAAUAACUAACAAUUAAAAGAGCUACAGUUACUGAAUCAUUUUGAAAUGCACCAAAAUACAUAAAAACAACCCUAAAGUCUGCAACCAAAAAUAACAGCAUUGGGUGCUAGCAGCUCUCUAGAGAAAUUCCUAUAACUCAUGGAGUGUGCCUGUGAUAAGUGACAAAUACCAUGUAAAUCCCAAUUUUCUACCUGAGCAGUAUGAAGUGCAAGACACUACCAGGAACAGCACAUGAACUAUUGAAAUUUAAAGUAAGUGUCCAAUAGAUUACUAAAAUGUAUGCUAAGGUACUGACAAAAUUCCAGGUGUGUAUUGCCUCACUGAGCAUCUCCUAUAGUUUAUUAUUGUUAAUAAGCAGCGGCCAGCUGCUUUUCAGCAAGCAGCUGUAAAUCAGUCUCUUGAAUGUUGGAAUCUUCAGAAAUUUACUACAGAACAGCUUUCCCUUCGUCUCUUUCAACAGGCUUUAUUUCUGUGUUUCUCAGAAUGGUAGGUAUUUCCAUGUGCCAUGUUUUGUACAUGCUUUCCCUUGAAUAAAGAUGAGGAUGUGAAAAACUUG
This is a long non-coding RNA of Pipra filicauda (Wire-tailed manakin), 2151 nucleotides long. RefSeq lists it as uncharacterized. The record is from RefSeq and is a predicted model, not a curated record. Lineage: Eukaryota; Metazoa; Chordata; Aves; Passeriformes; Pipridae. The transcript is spliced from 6 exons.